Molecule: ribosomal RNA, 495 nt
Filed under: uncultured bacterium
Lineage: Bacteria
Description: partial 16S ribosomal RNA
Rfam family: Bacterial small subunit ribosomal RNA
Source: RNAcentral
GACGAACGCUGGCGGCGUGCCUAAUACAUGCAAGUAGAACGCUGAAGGAGGAGCUUGCUUCUCUGGAUGAGUUGCGAACGGGUGAGUAACGCGUAGGUAACCUGCCUGGUAGCGGGGGAUAACUAUUGGAAACGAUAGCUAAUACCGCAUAAGAGUAGAUGUUGCAUGACAUUUGCUUAAAAGGUGCAAUUGCAUCACUACCAGAUGGACCUGCGUUGUAUUAGCUAGUUGGUGGGGUAACGGCUCACCAAGGCGACGAUACAUAGCCGACCUGAGAGGGUGAUCGGCCACACUGGGACUGAGACACGGCCCAGACUCCUACGGGAGGCAGCAGUAGGGAAUCUUCGGCAAUGGACGGAAGUCUGACCGAGCAACGCCGCGUGAGUGAAGAAGGUUUUCGGAUCGUAAAGCUCUGUUGUAAGAGAAGAACGAGUGUGAGAGUGGAAAGUUCACACUGUGACGGUAUCUUACCGGAAAGGGACGGCUAACUACGUG